Molecule: long non-coding RNA, 262 nt
Filed under: Elaeis guineensis (African oil palm)
Lineage: Eukaryota; Viridiplantae; Streptophyta; Magnoliopsida; Arecales; Arecaceae
Description: long non-coding RNA (EGUI_LNC039198)
Source: RNAcentral
UUUUUUUUUUUUUUUUUUUCUUUUCUUUUUUUUUUAGGGUGGGAGGUGCGGGCAUGUCAGAAAACUCUGUAUAGGAACUAUGCAGUAUUCCGCCGAUAACUAAUAUAUAAGUAUUACUUCUCGCAUCUGGGAUUAUGAAUUUAACUUGACAUAAGAAAUAUAACAUUACUGAAUUUUGUAAUGAUAGUGAUGCGACAAAUACUUUAAAAAAUGCGUUUAGUUGUAAUUUUCCUGCUCCAUUUUCCGGGAGCACGAGUGCGGC